RNAcentral lists this long non-coding RNA (501 nucleotides) under Gossypium barbadense (sea-island cotton). RNAcentral describes it as "long non-coding RNA (GBAR_LNC007673)". The record is from RNAcentral. Lineage: Eukaryota; Viridiplantae; Streptophyta; Magnoliopsida; Malvales; Malvaceae.
UUUUUUAUUAUUUUCAAUAUUCUGGUUUUAUUUUUAUUUUCUUUAAUAUUUUAUUUACUUGCUCUUUUUAAAUUCAACCCCUUAUAUUUUAUUUUAUUUUUAUAUUUAUUAAUUUACCUAUAUUUUACGCCUUAGACUUCAUUUUUUAUGUUAAUUCAAAUUCUUUUAGUUUCCAUUUUUGUUUUUUUCUUUAUUUUUAUUUCACCAUUGUUUUGUACUAUUCUUUUGCCUUUAUUUUUACAUUCAUGGCUUAUUACAACUGCUCAUUGUAUUAUUACUAUUAAUAUCCUUAUCACGUUGUCCUUCUUACACCAUCAAUAUUAUUUGUUAUUUUUGUCUUAUUUGUUCUAUUUAUUUUAUUUUCUGUUUAUAAUUUCAAACUAAAUUGUUUUAUUUAUUAUCUUGUUCAUCUACUUAUUUCUUUAUUCCUUUAACUUUUUAUACUAAAAAGUUCAUUUAUUUAUGUUUUUUAGAUGCUCUUCGAUUUUACUAUUAUUAUUA